ACAUAUUUUAGAGCCUAAUUCAUUUCAAUUAACAACCAAAAUUACAUUCAAAUCCAAAUUCAAAAUUCUAAUGCUAAAAAUUAUUCCUAAAUAAAUUUAUUGUAAUCCAUCUCUACUUAUAUAAGCUGCACCUUGAUCUGAUAUAUAAUAAACUUAAACAUUAAAAUUAUAUAUUUUCAAAAAUAAUUUUUAACGACGAUAUACAAGCAAAAUAAAAGUCUUAUCAAUCGUGGAUUAUCGAUUACAGGACAGAUUCCCCUGAUUGGAAUAAAAAACCGCCAAAUUUUUUGAUUUUUAAGAUCUUAUCUAAUAUUUAUCUAGUUUAAUUUUCUCUACAUCCUAGUAUAAUGGGGUAUCUAAUCCCAGUCUAAAAUCCAGAUUUCUCAACUUCAUAAUCAAAAAUUAAAUUAAAUUAUAAAUAAGAUUCCACCCAAUAUUUAAAAAAAUAAAAAUUAAUUAUUAUUAAUUAAGUAUAAUCAACUGAAAAAAAAUAAUAGCAUUAUUUGUAUAACCGCA
RNAcentral lists this ribosomal RNA (516 nucleotides) under Dematochroma sp. JGZ-22. RNAcentral describes it as "partial 12S ribosomal RNA". Lineage: Eukaryota; Metazoa; Arthropoda; Insecta; Coleoptera; Chrysomelidae. The record is from RNAcentral.